This 606-nucleotide long non-coding RNA is filed under the name Rattus norvegicus (Norway rat). RNAcentral describes it as "long non-coding RNA NONRATT008291". Lineage: Eukaryota; Metazoa; Chordata; Mammalia; Rodentia; Muridae. The record is from RNAcentral.
AAAAGAUCUUUACCAAUCCUACAACAGAUAGAGGCCUUAUAUCCAAAAUAUACAAAGAACUCAAGAAGUUAGACUGCAGGGAGACAAAUAACCCUAUUAAAAAUGGGGUUCAGAGCUAAACAAAGAAUUCACAGCUGAGGAAUGCCGAAUGGCUGAGAAACACCUAAAGAAAUGUUCAACAUCUUUAGUCAUAAGGGAAAUGCAAAUCAAAACAACCCUGAGAUUUCACCUCACACCAGUGAGAAUGGCUAAGAUCAAAAACUCAGGUGACAGCAGAUGCUGGCGAGGAUGUGGAGAAAGAGGAACACUCCUCCAUUGUUGGUGGGAUUGCAGACUGGUAAAACCAUUCUGGAAAUCAGUCUGGAGGUUCCUCAGAAAAUUGGACAUUGAACUGCCUGAGGAUCCAGCUAUACCUCUCUUGGGCAUAUACCCAAAAGAUGCCUCAACAUAUAAAAGAGACACGUGCUCCACUAUGUUCAUCGCAGCCUUAUUUAUAAUAGCCAGAAAAUGGAAAGAACCCAGAUGCCCUUCAACAGAGGAAUGGAUACAGAAAAUGUGGUACAUCUACACAAUGGAAUAUUACUCAGCUAUCAAAAACAACGAGUU